UUAAAAGUGGGAUUUUGUAGUGGGAUUAAAUGCUGCCUCUUCAUUUCUUUCUUUAUGGCGCCGGUGGUGGUUACAAUGGAUCUGGAUGAAGCGACUGCCCUUCAAUCUCCCCUUCAAUUCUCAAUCGGCACAUAAAGAUCAGAUGGAACCAGUGAGGAAUUGCGAGGCUCUAGGGUUCAUGUGAACAAAUUGAGAGACGAGAAUAACUCAAUGGUGGUGGCGGCUGCUAUUAAAGUAAGGUUUAGGGUUCUGCAGCGGUCAAUGGUGUUCUACGGCGGUGAACAAGCAACGGCGGAUUGGGGCUCAAGCAACGGCGGAUUGGGGCUUCGGUAGAGAGACCGGCGAGUGUUACCAACCACUACGGCCAGAGAAACCCUAGGCUUGUUAUGACAAGAAAUACCAGGAGAAGCGCACUCUUUGAAGGUGGAGAAAGUGUUGUUUCAGGGCAAGAAGUCUGAUUACCAGAAUGUUAUGGUAUUUCAGAAUUUCUUUGUAGCUUCCGGUUUGCUUGGAGACAGAGGGUCUCUCACGUUGACUUUUCCUGGUCCAAGUGCAACACUCGAGCUAUGGAGAUCAUCGUCUGAGUUCUGUGCUAUUAGAUCAAACCCAAUACGAAAUUCGUGGGUUUGGGUUUGGUAUAACCGGCUUCGGGUCAGUUUCAAUUGAACCCGUUUAGCUAAACGGGUUGUGUUUGACGGAUUCAUGAAUUACCUUUAACCCAUUUAUAUUUUAAAAAUGUAUAUUAUUUAUUGUUUUAAAUAUGUGAAUUAAAGUAUUAACAAUAUGUUUUAAACAGUUAUUUUCCAUUGAUUUCAUCAAUCUCAUAUUCACAAAUUCUUUCUUAAAAGUAUGUUAUUAAGGUUAUAAGGAUAGGAGGUUUUGCUACAAAAUAAACUGUUUAUAUUUACUUUCAACAGCUGAUCAUUCUUUUUAAUAAAGUGAUUUAGGAUUUAUUAAGGUUAAAAGACUGCAUGUGAAGAAUAUGCUGCUGCGUUUGGGGCCUGAUUUUGAGACUCAGAUGAAGGCUGCAGAUUGGGUUUUAAAAGCCCAUACACAUUUGCUGCUGCGGAUCAAGAUGAAGGCUAAACUCAUCAGCUGGUUCGUAGUCUCGGGGUACGGUAUUUGGUCCGGAAUCUGCAUGUUACAGGAGUCACAAUCUGUAUUCAUACGGGUUCUCGGUAUGGGUUAUACCUAUUCGGAAUUCUUAGUCAGUUUGUAGCUCUCCGAGUUUCCUGUGGCUGGGUGUUGACCCUAAGUUUGGCCUAUAAUUGCUGGUCUGGAACUGUUAUUUGCUGGAACGAAAUGGUGCCUGGUUACCUCAUCAUGGAAUGCGAAAGAGCGGUAUUUGGCCUUCCACAAUGUUACUGCCAUGGUUGGAUUUGGUUACCAGCAGCAGCAGCAGCAUCUGGUUCUUGGAAUGAGGCCGGCUGGUGGUCGUAGGUUUGCACUAGCUGUCUGAUUAGGUCAAAGUCGUGGGACUGGUUUCGUCCAAACAACUUCCAUGCAGCAACAGAUACGUAAAUGAUGUUUACUAAUUAUAAUACCAUGUUGUCUUACUAUUGAAUUAAUUAAAUAUAAACUCAGUUAUGAUAAAUCAUUAAUUGUGUAGUUUAUUGAUGACAAACAAUAUGUAUUUGGAGCAUAAUUAACUUUCCAUUACAGAUCUUA
Molecule: long non-coding RNA, 1668 nt
Organism: Helianthus annuus (common sunflower)
Lineage: Eukaryota; Viridiplantae; Streptophyta; Magnoliopsida; Asterales; Asteraceae
Exons: 6
Source: RefSeq, a predicted model, not a curated record